UUGGUUGAAACCAAAAAGAGGUGUGUCACUGUUAAUGAUAAUAUUGAAAUUUAUUUUCCAAUCAAG
This 66-nucleotide transfer RNA is filed under the name Portunus pelagicus (sand crab). RNAcentral describes it as "tRNA-Asn". The record is from RNAcentral. Lineage: Eukaryota; Metazoa; Arthropoda; Malacostraca; Decapoda; Portunidae.